Molecule: ribosomal RNA, 433 nt
Filed under: uncultured bacterium
Lineage: Bacteria
Description: partial 16S ribosomal RNA
Rfam family: Bacterial small subunit ribosomal RNA
Source: RNAcentral
AGCGAACGCUGGCGGCAGGCCUAACACAUGCAAGUCGAACGAACUCUUCGGAGUUAGUGGCGGACGGGUGAGUAACACGUGGGAACGUGCCUUUUGGUUCGGAAUAACUCAGGGAAACUUGUGCUAAUACCGAGUGUGCCCUUCGGGGGAAAGAUUUAUCGCCAUUAGAGCGGCCCGCGUCUGAUUAGCUAGUUGGUGAGGUAACGGCUCACCAAGGCGACGAUCAGUAGCUGGUCUGAGAGGAUGACCAGCCACACUGGGACUGAGACACGGCCCAGGCUCCUACGGGAGGCAGCAGUGGGGAAUCUUGCGCAAUGGGCGAAAGCCUGACGCAGCCAUGCCGCGUGAAUGAUGAAGGUCUUAGGAUUGUAAAAUUCUUUCACCGGGGACGAUAAUGACGGUACCCGGAGAAGAAGCCCCGGCUAACUUCGUG